RNAcentral lists this ribosomal RNA (739 nucleotides) under Cyanosporus caesius. RNAcentral's name for it is "LSU rRNA". It matches the Rfam family "Eukaryotic large subunit ribosomal RNA", at positions 142 to 869 of the family's 3401-position model. Lineage: Eukaryota; Fungi; Basidiomycota; Agaricomycetes; Polyporales; Postiaceae. The record is from RNAcentral.
GUUGUAAUCUGGAGAAGUGCUUUCCGUGCUGGACCGUGUACAAGUCUCUUGGAACAGAGCGUCAUAGAGGGUGAGAAUCCCGUCUUUGACACGGACUACCAGUGCUUUGUGAUGCGCUCUCAAAGAGUCGAGUUGUUUGGGAAUGCAGCUCAAAAUGGGUGGUAAAUUCCAUCUAAAGCUAAAUAUUGGCGAGAGACCGAUAGCGAACAAGUACCGUGAGGGAAAGAUGAAAAGAACUUUGGAAAGAGAGUUAAACAGUACGUGAAAUUGCUGAAAGGGAAACGCUUGAAGUCAGUCGCGUUGGCCGGAACUCAGCCUGGCUUUGGCUUGGUGCAUUUUCUGGUUGACGGGUCAGCAUCAGUUUUGAUUGUCGGAUAAUGGUUGGGGGAAUGUGGCAUCUUCGGAUGUGUUAUAGCCCUCAGUCGCAUACGAUGGUUGGGACUGAGGAUCUCAGCACACCUUUAUGGUCGGGGUUCGCCCACGUUUGUGCUUAGGAUGCUGGCAUAAUGGCUUUAAACGACCCGUCUUGAAACACGGACCAAGGAGUCUAACAUGCAUGCGAGUGUUUGGGUGGAAAACCCGAGCGCGUAAUGAAAGUGAAAGUUGAGAUCCCUGUCGUGGGGAGCAUCGACGCCCGGACCAGACCUUCUGUGACGGCUCUGCGGUGGAGCAUGUAUGUUGGGACCCGAAAGAUGGUGAACUAUGCCUGAAUAGGGUGAAGCCAGAGGAAACUCUGGUG